AUUGAUGAGAGCCCGGGAGAGGGGGGAUUACAGAGGGUAGAAGCGGUAAUCUGAAUGACGGGGGGUAAAGUGGGCUGAGGUUGUUUGUUAAGUUGGAUGUGAAAUCCCCGGGCUCAACCUGGGACAUGCAUUGAAAACUGACUGACUAGAGUAUGGUAGAGGGUGGUGGAAUGUUCUGUGUAGCGGUGAAAUGCGUAGAGAUCUGGAGGAAUACCGGUGGCGAAGGCGGCCCCCUGGACAAAGACUGACGCUCAUGCACGAAAGCGUGGGGAGCAAACAGGAUUAGAUACCCUUGUAGUC
RNAcentral lists this ribosomal RNA (300 nucleotides) under uncultured archaeon. RNAcentral describes it as "bacterial SSU rRNA". The stretch from base 53 to 300 matches the Rfam family "Bacterial small subunit ribosomal RNA", at positions 548 to 795 of the family's 1533-position model. The record is from RNAcentral.